CUAUGCGCCUUGCCAGCCCGCUCAGGUGUGCCAGCCGCCGCGGUAAUACGGAGGAUGCGAGCGUUAUCCGGAUUUAUUGGGUUUAAAGGGUGCGCAGGCGGAUUUUUAAGUCAGCGGUCAAAUCGUGGGGCUCAACCCGGGCCGGCCGUUGAAACUGGGGAUCUUGAGUGGGCGAGAAGUAUGCGGAAUGCGUGGUGUAGCGGUGAAAUGCAUAGAUAUCACGCAGAACUCCGAUUGCGAAGGCAGCAUACCGGCGCCCGACUGACGCUGAGGCACGAAAGCGUGGGGAUCGAACAGG
This 298-nucleotide ribosomal RNA is filed under the name uncultured bacterium. Its description in RNAcentral is "partial 16S ribosomal RNA". It matches the Rfam family "Bacterial small subunit ribosomal RNA", at positions 475 to 776 of the family's 1533-position model. The record is from RNAcentral.